This 489-nucleotide ribosomal RNA is filed under the name uncultured bacterium. Its description in RNAcentral is "bacterial SSU rRNA". It matches the Rfam family "Bacterial small subunit ribosomal RNA", at positions 28 to 502 of the family's 1533-position model. The record is from RNAcentral.
GAUGAACGCUAGCGGCAGGCUUAAUACAUGCAAGUCGAGGGGCAUCAAGGUACACGAAAGUGUAUUGUUGGCGACCGGCGGACGGGUGAGUAAUAGGUAGGUAACCUACCUCAUACUGAGGCAUAGCUGGGAGAAAUUCCAGGUAAUUCCUCAUGAGGUUAUAUGACACAUGUGAUAUAAUCAAAGGUAUCGCAAGGUACUGGUAUGAGAUGGGCUUACUGACCAUUAGCUAGUUGGUGAGAUAAGAGCUCACCAAGGCGAAGAUGGUUAGGGGUUUUGAGAGAGAGAUCCCCCACAUUGGAACUGAGAUACGGUCCAGACUCCUACGGGAGGCGGCAGUAGGGAAUAUUGGGCAAUGGGCGGAAGCCUGACCCAGCCAUGCCGCGUGAAGGAAGACGGCCUUAUGGGUUGUAAACUUCUUUACUAUGCGACUAACUAGAUUUACGAGAUAAUUCUAUAGAAUGUAGCAUAGCAAAAGCACGGCUAACG